This 599-nucleotide ribosomal RNA is filed under the name Hypselobarbus periyarensis. RNAcentral's name for it is "partial 16S ribosomal RNA". It matches the Rfam family "Bacterial large subunit ribosomal RNA", at positions 1808 to 2609 of the family's 2925-position model. Lineage: Eukaryota; Metazoa; Chordata; Actinopteri; Cypriniformes; Cyprinidae. The record is from RNAcentral.
CAAAAACAUCGCCUCCUGCAAUACAACCAAGUAUAGGAGGUCCAGCCUGCCCAGUGACUGUAAGUUCAACGGCCGCGGUAUUUUGACCGUGCAAAGGUAGCGCAAUCACUUGUCUUUUAAAUAGAGACCUGUAUGAAUGGCUAAACGAGGGCUUAACUGUCUCCCUUUUCAAGUCAGUGAAAUUGAUCCACCCGUGCAGAAGCGGGUAUAAUAAUACAAGACGAGAAGACCCUUUGGAGCUUAAGGUACAAAACUCAACCACGUCAAGCAACUCAACAAAAAGCAAAAACUUCGUGGGACAUGAGAUUUUACCUUCGGUUGGGGCGACCGCGGAGGAAAAAAAAGCCUCCAAGUGGACCGGGACACACUCCUAAAACCAAGAGGGACACCUCUAAGCCACAGAACAUCUGACCAAACAUGAUCCAGCUACUAAAGCCGAUCAACGAACCAAGUUACCCUAGGGAUAACAGCGCAAUCCUCUCCCAGAGUCCAUAUCGACGAGAGGGUUUACGACCUCGAUGUUGGAUCAGGACAUCCUAAUGGUGCAGCCGCUAUUAAGGGUUCGUUUGUUCAACGAUUAAAGUCCUACGUGAUCUGAG